RNAcentral lists this ribosomal RNA (253 nucleotides) under uncultured bacterium. RNAcentral's name for it is "partial 16S ribosomal RNA". It matches the Rfam family "Bacterial small subunit ribosomal RNA", at positions 524 to 776 of the family's 1533-position model. The record is from RNAcentral.
UACGUAGGGGGCUAGCGUUGUCCGGAUUUAUUGGGCGUAAAGGGCUCGUAGGUGGCCAACUAAGUCAGACGUGAAAUCCCUCGGCUUAACCGGGGAACUGCGUCUGAUACUGGAUGGCUAGAGUUUGGGAGAGGGAUGCGGAAUUCCAGGUGUAGCGGUGAAAUGCGUAGAUAUCUGGAGGAACACCGGUGGCGAAGGCGGCAUCCUGGACCAACACUGACGCUGAGGAGCGAAAGCCAGGGGAGCAAACGGG